UGAGCUCUAAAACAGAAGGCCCAAAUUUCUGAGCUGGAGGGUCGUGGUUGUGUAGGUUCUGGAAAAUGCGAGAGACAAAAUUGUGGCUGGCAUAGAAGCAGACUGACAGAUAUGCGGGAAGAGAAGUUCUGUCUCAGUAGAAGAAGGCAUAUCUUUUAAGAAAUUGAACUGGGUAGCUGUUCCAGGAGACCUUUCUAUUAAAUGAAAUUGGAUCAACUCAUGAUUAUGUGAGCCAAAGUUAUGUCCAAUUUACCACUUUUCUCUCGUGAUUUUGCUGUUCUCCUGGAACCAAAUUUGACUUAGCAUCUCAUCUUGGUUGAGUAGGAGGAUAGAUGAUGGAGAACAGGAUUGGUUAUCACAUACAUGAGUAGUUGGGGUCUCCUUUUGUUGGUGGCUUUUAUUUAUUUCCAGAUCUAUAUCAGGAAAAUUAAAGUCAUUCAUGAUAACAUAAUGCAGAUUGGUAUAUUGUCCAAGAUUGCAGGUCUAUAGCACACCCUUAAUUUUAACUCAGUUGGAACCACUCUUGUCAUUCUUGCUUCAAGAGAUCUUAGGCCACACUGAUUAUGACUGAUUGUUCACACAUUAUUAUCAUCAGUACAGUUGUGUUGUUGGAUGUAUAAUGCAAUCUUAUCAUUAGCUCAGUCUUUCCUUUAUAGCUCAGACUCAUCAAUGUCAGCAUUUCA
This is a non-coding RNA of Podarcis muralis (Common wall lizard), 683 nucleotides long. Lineage: Eukaryota; Metazoa; Chordata; Lepidosauria; Squamata; Lacertidae. The record is from RefSeq and is a predicted model, not a curated record.